AUGACAACAAGAAAAAAUCGUCAAAUGGCAGCCUGCGGUAUAGCGGCUUGGCUUCUCCUUCGAUGGUGGUGCAGGAACAGGAACUCAGACUCAGAGUGGAACGAAGACUGGGAAGCCCAACUCGGUCCCCGCCGCUUCGCGUACAAGGACCUCCGUCGAGCAACCAAUGGCUUCCACGACAAUCAAAUCCUCAGAAAAGGCGGCUUUGGGCGGGUCUACGGAGGGGCCCUCGCCGGCUCCGGUGUUCCGGUGGCGGUGAAGCGGAUCUCCUCGGAGUCGAGGCAGGGGCUAGCCCAGUUCACAGCUGAGAUCAUCAUCCUUGGCCGGCUGCGACACCGGAACCUGGUCCACCUCAUCGGCUAUUGCCGGCACAAGGACGAGCUGCUCCUGGUCUACGAGCGCAUGCCCAACGGCAGCUUGGACAGCUACCUGCACGCCCAAACCAGGAGCGCCACGCUCUCAUGGACGCAGAGGCUUCACAUCAUCAAGGGCGUCGCGUCCGGGCUCCUGUACCUCCACGAGGACUGGGAGCAGGUCAUCGUGGACCGGGACAUCAAGGCCAGCAACGUCCUCCUAGACGCCGACAUGAACGGCCGGCUGGGAGACUUCGGCCUCGCGAGGCUGCACGACCACGGCGCCGACGCGCACACCACCCACGUGGCCGGCACCAGGGGCUACCUCGCCCCUGAGCUGAUGAGGUUCGGCAAGGCGACCGAGGCCACCGACGUGUUCGCCUUCGGCGCCUUCGUCCUCGAGGUGGCCUGCGGGAGGCGGCCCAUGGGGCUCAACGCCCGCGGCGAGCUGCUGGUGCUCGUCCAGUGGGUGAGAGACACAUGGGAGGGCUGCUCCGGCCUGAUUGUCGACGCCGUCGACCCGAGGCUGGACGACUUCGUCGCCGACGAGGCCGAGCUGGUGCUCAAGCUGGGGCUGCUGUGCUCACAUCCCUUGCCGGCGGCGAGGCCCAGAAUGCGCCUCGUCAUGCGGUACCUCAACGGAGACCUGCCUCUGCCGGAGUUCGCGCCCGGAUACCUCGCCGUCACGGACGUGGAUCAGGUUCUUGAAGCGCCUCCGUAG
This 1074-nucleotide ribosomal RNA is filed under the name Triticum aestivum (bread wheat). RNAcentral describes it as "partial small subunit ribosomal RNA". The record is from RNAcentral. Lineage: Eukaryota; Viridiplantae; Streptophyta; Magnoliopsida; Poales; Poaceae.